Molecule: non-coding RNA, 105 nt
Organism: Tephrocybe rancida
Lineage: Eukaryota; Fungi; Basidiomycota; Agaricomycetes; Agaricales; Lyophyllaceae
Source: the annotation of a GenBank genome assembly
GGCGAGAUGGCCGAGCGGUCCAAGGCGCCAGACUAAGGCCAAAGCAGCAUCUGCUUAUAUAAUCUGGUCUCUUCGGGGGCGUGGGUUCGAAUCCCACUCUCGUCA